This is a long non-coding RNA of Maniola jurtina (meadow brown), 97 nucleotides long. RefSeq lists it as uncharacterized. NCBI's taxonomy places the organism in Eukaryota, Metazoa, Arthropoda, Insecta, Lepidoptera, Nymphalidae. The record is from RefSeq and is a predicted model, not a curated record. The transcript is spliced from 3 exons.
UAAAAAUUAAUAAAAUAAAAGCAAAAUUAUAAGUUCGUUUGCGGGUGUAGCGACACUACGUUAGCGAACAGACUUUACAUAAACAAUACAUAGUUUG